GACGAGACGAGAAAAUCGUUGUCUCUGAAAAAUUAUUUGAAUUUCAUUUUAAUGUGCAAAAGCAUUUUUAAUCUUAAAAGACGAUCAGACCCUAUGGAGCUUUAAACUUUUUAGGGAGUAAAAUAAUUUAAAUAUUAACUCAAUAAUCAAUUUUUCGUUGGGGCGACGGGAAGAUUUAAAAAAACUCUUCUUUAUAUUAAUAAAAAUAAUUAAAAAAUUGAUCCUACAAGAUAGAUUAAAAGACUAAGUUACCCUAGGGAUAACAGCGUAAUUUGUGUAGAGAGUUCAAAUCGAUACACAAGUUUGCGACCUCGAUGUUGGAUCAAAGUUCCUUUAAGGUGCAGCAGCUUUAAAAGGGGGUCUGUUCGACCUUUAAAUCUUUACGUGAUCUGAGU
RNAcentral lists this ribosomal RNA (395 nucleotides) under Alonella exigua. RNAcentral describes it as "partial large subunit ribosomal RNA". It matches the Rfam family "Bacterial large subunit ribosomal RNA", at positions 1998 to 2610 of the family's 2925-position model. The record is from RNAcentral. Lineage: Eukaryota; Metazoa; Arthropoda; Branchiopoda; Diplostraca; Chydoridae.